This 24-nucleotide microRNA is filed under the name Ananas comosus (pineapple). RNAcentral describes it as "microRNA s0606_c83a". Lineage: Eukaryota; Viridiplantae; Streptophyta; Magnoliopsida; Poales; Bromeliaceae. The record is from RNAcentral.
CUUUUAAAAAAAUCUACUAAUACC